This 100-nucleotide signal recognition particle RNA is filed under the name Lachnospiraceae bacterium. RNAcentral describes it as "signal recognition particle sRNA small type". It matches the Rfam family "Bacterial small signal recognition particle RNA". Rfam says of the family: The signal recognition particle (SRP) is a universally conserved ribonucleoprotein involved in the co-translational targeting of proteins to membranes. Archaeal SRP consists of a 7S RNA and homologues of the eukaryotic SRP19 and SRP54 proteins. In most bacteria, the SRP consists of a 4.5S RNA and the Ffh protein (a homologue of the eukaryotic SRP54 protein). The record is from RNAcentral. Lineage: Bacteria; Bacillati; Bacillota; Clostridia; Lachnospirales; Lachnospiraceae.
ACUUGGGUCCUGCGCGGCGGGAGCCUGUGAAUCGUGUCAGGUCCGGAAGGAAGCAGCACUAAGCGGGAAUUCCCGGGUGCCGCAGGGUUGCCUGGGUGUG